UACAUAAAUACAAUCAAAUCAAACUCAAGUACAAUAGAUAGAGCAAAGGGAAAGAUGUAGAGAGCAGAAUAUAUUUCUUAGCAUUGUAGCCCAUCAGUUCCAGAAACAAAGGAAUAGAAACAUAGAAAAUAGGUGCAGGAGGAGGC
This is a long non-coding RNA of Amblyraja radiata (thorny skate), 146 nucleotides long. RefSeq lists it as uncharacterized. The transcript is spliced from 3 exons. Lineage: Eukaryota; Metazoa; Chordata; Chondrichthyes; Rajiformes; Rajidae. The record is from RefSeq and is a predicted model, not a curated record.